AGCGAACGCUGGCGGCAGGCCUAACACAUGCAAGUCGAACGGAUCCUUCGGGAUUAGUGGCGGACGGGUGAGUAACACGUGGGAACGUGCCCUUUGGUUCGGAACAACUCAGGGAAACUUGAGCUAAUACCGGAUGUGCCCUUCGGGGGAAAGAUUUAUCGCCAUUGGAGCGGCCCGCGUCUGAUUAGCUAGUUGGUGAGGUAACGGCCCACCAAGGCGACGAUCAGUAGCUGGUCUGAGAGGAUGAUCAGCCACACUGGGACUGAGACACGGCCCAGACUCCUACGGGAGGCAGCAGUGGGGAAUCUUGCGCAAUGGGCGAAAGACUGACGCAGCCAUGCCGCGUGAAUGAUGAAGGUCUUAGGAUUGUAAAAUUCUUUCAGCGGGGACGAUAAUGACGGUACCCGCAGAAGAAGCGCCGGCUAACUUCGUG
This 433-nucleotide ribosomal RNA is filed under the name uncultured bacterium. RNAcentral describes it as "partial 16S ribosomal RNA". It matches the Rfam family "Bacterial small subunit ribosomal RNA", at positions 29 to 507 of the family's 1533-position model. The record is from RNAcentral.